RNAcentral lists this ribosomal RNA (448 nucleotides) under uncultured Spirochaeta sp. RNAcentral's name for it is "bacterial SSU rRNA". It matches the Rfam family "Bacterial small subunit ribosomal RNA", at positions 938 to 1382 of the family's 1533-position model. The record is from RNAcentral. Lineage: Bacteria; Pseudomonadati; Spirochaetota; Spirochaetia; Spirochaetales; Spirochaetaceae.
CAUGUGGUUUAAUUCGAUGGUACGCGAGGAACCUUACCAGGGCUUGACAGUACGUUGGAAGCGCAUCGAAAGGUGCGUGCCGCUUGCGGCCGGCGUACAGGUGCUGCAUGGCUGUCGUCAGCUCGUGCUGUGAAGUGUUGGGUUAAGUCCCGCAACGAGCGCAACCCCUGCUGCCUGUUGCCACCACGAGAGGUGGGGACUCAGGCGGGACCGCCGGUGACAAACCGGAGGAACGGUGGGGGACGACGUCAAGUCAUCAUGGCCCUUAUGUCCUGGGCUACACACGUGCUACAAUGGCCGGUACAAAGGGCAGCUACCUGGUGACAGGAUGCUAAUCUCAAAAGACCGGUCUCAGUUCGGAUCGGAGUCUGCAACCCGACUCCAUGAAGCUGGAAUCGCUAGUAAUCGCGCACUCAGCCAUGGCGCGGUGAAUACGUUCCCGGGCCUU